This 209-nucleotide ribosomal RNA is filed under the name Pseudopedinella elastica. RNAcentral's name for it is "partial Bacterial small subunit ribosomal RNA". It matches the Rfam family "Bacterial small subunit ribosomal RNA", at positions 709 to 918 of the family's 1533-position model. The record is from RNAcentral. Lineage: Eukaryota; Dictyochophyceae; Pedinellales.
CCGAUGGCGAAGGCAGCCUUCUGGCAUAAUACUGACACUGAGGCUCGAAAGCGUGGGUAGCAAACAGGAUUAGAUACCCUGGUAGUCCACGCCCUAAACGAUGUCAACUGGUUGUUGGGUCUUAGCUGACUCAGUAACGAAGCUAACGCGUGAAGUUGACCGCCUGGGGAGUACGGCCGCAAGGCUAAAACUCAAAGGAAUUGACGGGG